AAUCAACGCUGGCGGCGUGCCUAACACAUGCAAGUCGAACGCGAAAGCCCCUUCGGGGGCAAGUAGAGUGGCGUCCGGGUGAGUAACACGUGGGUAAUCUACCUCCGGGUGGGGAAUAACUCGCCGAAAGGCGGGCUAAUACCGCAUAAUGCAGCGGCACCGAAUGGUGAUUAGUUGUUAAAGCGGGGGACCUUAGGGCCUCGCGUCUGGAGAGGAGCCUGCGGCAGAUUAGCUUGUUGGUAGGGAAUGGCCUACCAAGGCUGCGAUCUGUAGCUGGUCUGAGAGGACGGCCAGCCACACUGGCACUGACACACGGGCCAGACUCCUACGGGAGGCAGCAGUGGGGAAUUUUGGGCAAUGGGCGAAAGCCUGACCCAGCAACGCCGCGUGAAGGAGGAAAUCCUUCGGGAUGUAAACUUCACAAGCAAGGGAAGAGCGCGCAGGGUCGAAUAAACUCUGCGUCCGGCGGUACCUGCGUAAGCCACGGCUAACUACGUGCCAGCAGCCGC
Molecule: ribosomal RNA, 509 nt
Filed under: uncultured bacterium
Lineage: Bacteria
Description: bacterial SSU rRNA
Rfam family: Bacterial small subunit ribosomal RNA
Source: RNAcentral